AUAAAUGCGAUUAGUUGUUCCCGAAUUGUUGAAUAAACUUGUCAAUAUGAGUUCCGGGGUAUUUUGGGGACUGAUCCUCGUAAUUUUCUUUGUUGCCCAGGCAAACGCGGACUGCGUACACGAAGGGACAAUUUUGAAAACUGGGGAGAAGAUCCCCGUUGUUUGCGGCAUUGAUACAUGUCAGGAAGAUGGCAGUGUAUCGGGGGUCGGAUGCGGAGUCUACCGUUGUGCCCCGGGGAAGGAAAUUGAUUACAUUUACGGAGACAAAACAAAAGUUUAUCCGGAUUGUUGUGACCACCCUAUCUGCGCCAGCGACUGAAUCCCUUGUCAACCCCUUCAACAGACCCAUUCUCCCAAAUCAAUGUUUAUAAAGAGCAGUUUAGAAGAAUGAAGCAGUGUUAUUACUACCCUAAACCAAAAUAUUGUCCCCCGAUAAAGAUAACAUUAUCAUAAACCAUAUCAGGCCGAAAGUCACGUUUUUAUCAUAAAAAAAUAUUAUAAUCACUUUAUUUCUCCUGCCUUAUCAAAUGGAAUUUGCAUUAAAAAAUGAAAGAUCAUUGAGAAUGUUGAGAUUACAGCAUAAUGCAUGUCGAUUAUAUUAUUCAACGAAUGAUUGAAAUACAAUUCAUCGUGCAUUGCGUAUUCAUCAAUCGCUGAUCUCAACUGGAAUCAAUUAAAAUUAUUUUUAAA
Long non-coding RNA from Diachasma alloeum, 690 nucleotides. RefSeq lists it as uncharacterized. The transcript is spliced from 3 exons. Lineage: Eukaryota; Metazoa; Arthropoda; Insecta; Hymenoptera; Braconidae. The record is from RefSeq and is a predicted model, not a curated record.